UAGGAAUUUUUUUAUUCAAUGUGAAUUUACU
RNAcentral lists this non-coding RNA (31 nucleotides) under Mus musculus (house mouse). The record is from RNAcentral. Lineage: Eukaryota; Metazoa; Chordata; Mammalia; Rodentia; Muridae.